CGCGGCCUAUCAGCUUGUUGGUGGGGUGAUGGCCUACCAAGGCGACGACGGGUAGCCGGCCUGAGAGGGUGUCCGGCCACACUGGGACUGAGAUACGGCCCAGACUCCUACGGGAGGCAGCAGUGGGGAAUAUUGCACAAUGGGCGCAAGCCUGAUGCAGCGACGCCGCGUGGGGGAUGACGGCCUUCGGGUUGUAAACCUCUUUCACCAUCGGCGAAGCCCGUAGCUUUUGUUGUGGGUGACGGUAGGUGGAGAAGAAGCACCGGCCAACUACGUGCCAGCAGCCGCGGUAAUACGUAGGGUGCGAGCGUUGUCCGGAAUUACUGGGCGUAAAGAGCUCGUAGGUGGUUUGUCGCGUUGUCCGUGAAAUUCCCUGGCUUAACUGGGGGCGUGCGGGCGAUACGGGCAGACUGGAGUACUGCAGGGGAGACUGGAAUUCCUGGUGUAGCGGUGGAAUGCGCAGAUAUCAGGAGGAACACCGGUGGCGAAGGCGGGUCUCUGGGCAGUAACUGACGCUGAGGAGCGAAAGCGUGGGGAGCGAACAGGAUUAGAUACCCUGGUAGUCCACGCCGUAAACGGUGGGUACUAGGUGUGGGUUUCCUUCCUUGGGAUCCGUGCCGUAGCUAACGCAUUAAGUACCCCGCCUGGGAGUACG
RNAcentral lists this ribosomal RNA (655 nucleotides) under uncultured bacterium. RNAcentral's name for it is "bacterial SSU rRNA". It matches the Rfam family "Bacterial small subunit ribosomal RNA", at positions 232 to 884 of the family's 1533-position model. The record is from RNAcentral.